CGCAGGGAACCAGACCAGCGUCUGGUGGUACACGCCGGUCCGCGGGCGAGGAGCCGAGGAACCUAUCGACCAGUUCCCAUCUCCAGCGCAGUCUCCCUCCCCUCCACCGAUUCCAAACCUAGCGCUAGCGGCCGGUGGCGGGCGACGCGUGGGCGGCGGCCGGCGGCGAAUCUAGGCCCGGCCGGCCCUCUCCUUCCCUCCCCUCGGCAGUACGGCCCCUCCGGCCUCGGCCUCCGGGCUCCGGCAACCCGGCUCCGCCCUCCCCGAACAGCACAAGAGUUUCCUCCGCCUCCGAGAUCCGACCGGCCUCCAGUGCUCCCUCGACGGCUCCACGCGGACCACGCCUCCACUGCUGACCGUCCUGCUCCUCCAGCAUAGCUCCAGUGCUCCACCAAGAUGAAGAAGAAAUAUGUUAGCUUGUUUGAAUUGUGCGACAAAUCUUCAAAGGCAAGGAAAAUAAGUUCUACAUCCACACCAACUGCUAUUUCCGUUGAGGUUGAGAGCAACCUACAACUAGCACUAGUGCAUACACAUGACGAAGCUCCGCAACCGGAGAGGGAGAGAGGCUCCCCGUCCCCAAUUGUAGAAGAUGAUGAAGCGGUUGAUGAAGAUGAUGAACCAAGUCCCCAAUUCGAAGCAGAUUUGGCGGCUCUGGAACGUGAUCCUGGCAAGCGACUUCCCAUAUCUUCAUAUCAUGUCAAUGACCAGGAUGUAGUUAGAAGGAGAUACAGUGACUUGGGAGCUUGUGAACCAAAGGGUCACAAAUUUGAGAUCAGAGAUUUUAGUGGACAUCCCUGUCGCUUUUGUCCUUCUUGGUUUAAGGAUCACAAGUGGCUUGAGUAUAGUGUGGAGAAAGAGGUCAUGUUCUGCUUUGUUUGCUAUUUGUUCAAGGAUAAAACAAAAAGCCCUGGUGGAGAUCCAUUUGUUAAGGGUGGGUUUAGAAACUGGAACAUGAAAGCAAGAUUGACAAGGCAUGUUGGUGA
Molecule: non-coding RNA, 983 nt
Organism: Aegilops tauschii subsp. strangulata
Lineage: Eukaryota; Viridiplantae; Streptophyta; Magnoliopsida; Poales; Poaceae
Source: RefSeq, a predicted model, not a curated record